Molecule: ribosomal RNA, 497 nt
Filed under: uncultured bacterium
Lineage: Bacteria
Description: partial 16S ribosomal RNA
Rfam family: Bacterial small subunit ribosomal RNA
Source: RNAcentral
GAUGAACGCUGGCGGCGUGCCUAAUACAUGCAAGUCGAGCGAACAGAUGAGGAGCUUGCUCCUCUGACGUUAGCGGCGGACGGGUGAGUAACACGUGGAUAACCUACCUAUAAGACUGGGAUAACUUCGGGAAACCGGAGCUAAUACCGGAUAAUAUAUUGAACCGCAUGGUUCAAUAGUGAAAGACGGUUUUGCUGUCACUUAUAGAUGGAUCCGCGCCGCAUUAGCUAGUUGGUAAGGUAACGGCUUACCAAGGCAACGAUGCGUAGCCGACCUGAGAGGAUGAUCGGCCACACUGGAACUGGGACACGGUCCAGACUCCUACGGGAGGCAGCAGUAGGGAAUCUUCCGCAAUGGGCGAAAACCUGACGUAGCAACGCCGCGUGAGUGAUGAAGAUCUUCGGAUCGUAAAACUCUGUUAUUAGGGAAGAACAAAUGUGUAAGUAACUAUGCACGUCUUGACGGUACCUAAUCAGAAAGCCACGGCUAACUACGUG